Maniola jurtina (meadow brown) is the source of this 2326-nucleotide long non-coding RNA. RefSeq lists it as uncharacterized. NCBI's taxonomy places the organism in Eukaryota, Metazoa, Arthropoda, Insecta, Lepidoptera, Nymphalidae. The record is from RefSeq and is a predicted model, not a curated record. The transcript is spliced from 2 exons.
GUCCGAGCGGACGUCAAAGCGGACGUCGGACAGGACGUCGGAGCUGACGCAUGAGCGGGUUGAAUUACAUUAUUUUCAGAGUGAUUCCUCGGCACAGUGCGAGGCAUGUCAUCCGAAUUAGCGGAUUGCGACAAUGAGCAAUUAUAAAGGUGCGGACAGAUAUGUGACGUUGGCGCAUUGACAACGACACUACAGUUUGAUUUACUAGAUUUAGCGAAACACAAACUUGAAUGGUGACGUUUAAGCGGAAAGCAAUUCGAGCAGGUUUUGGUGCUGCUACAAGCGGAAUAUUUAUGCGAGGUACUUAAGCAGUUUGUACAGUAUGAAUUAUUUUUAACAAUUUCGUACCUUUGCCUAGGAGUUAAUUUCAUAAACUCAGUGCACUUGUAUAAGUGGUCAUGCUUUUCAUUUUUACAGAUGACACACUUAUGAUUUUCAUGUGAGCUACGAGCGCUUUCCGUAUUGACAAAAGACUUAGUAGACUUAGUAGACCCCGUGACAGGUGUAGGUAUGUGUUUAGAGCGAGCUUUAUUUUGCAACUGUGCAUUAACAUUGCUCCCUCUAGACAGCACCUUGCUCUGUUCCUUCACGAAAUCUAUAAGACUUUUAUAUGUUGGAAUUUGUUUUUUACGAUUAAUAAGCUCAAACAUUUUAACGGUAUCUUCAUCUAAUUUAAGCGUAGCCAAAUGAAGAAAUAUAAAAUCAGUCAAAUCAAUUUUUAACUGUUUAAGUGCUUCUACCGAUGAAUCAAAAGUGUUUAUGAAAUUAUCUAGUGCGGUAUCAUUAUUAUUAGCAAGUGGCUUAAAUUGCAACACUUGAUUUAAAUAAGCGGAAGCGAGCGAGCGGGGGUCGUCGUACUUCUGUAUUAAGGCAUCCCAGAUGAUAUUAUAAUUUUCAGCUGUUGCUGGCAACCCUGAACAAACUGCGGCAGCCCUAUCAGUUAAUUUUCCGACUAAGUAAAAUACCCUUUCACUAUUAUUUAAAUUCGGGUUAUCAUGAAUCAUACUUUUAAACUGCUGAUAAAACAACGGCCAUUUCGUUAAAUCACCAUUAAAUGAGAUAAGAUCAAUAGGCGGAAGAUGCGAUUUUAAUUUAGGGAACUUUGACAAAGACGCCAUGUUAGAUUCAGAUUCUUUAUUGCUGUUAGUCGCUAAGACUUGUUUGACAUAACAAAAUAAUUCCUCGAAUGACAUCCAUGAUUGAUAAUUAAUAGGAUUUUUAGGAUUUAAUCUUAACUGUAUAGCGUUAUAUGAAUCCAAUGUUUGCUCGAAUUCCUUCCGUAAAGUGUCUAGGUUACCUGACUGGCAUAAAAGAUUAGGUAGUUUACUAGCAUCAAUUUCUACUUGCAAGGCGGCAUCGUAGAUUCGUUGCAUUCGGGCAAACAUCGCAUCGCGUUUCGAUUCCAAUAUUAACAUUUGACAUUCGUCAUGUGUACGCGGUAAAUCUGAAUCACCCUUUGUAGUCAUUUUGAAAACUCAAAGUACCUAAAUAAAUCGAACACAAGGUAAUAUGUUUAGCGGUAAAUAUAUACUAUAAAAUGCGUUGGUUAUACUGUGAAAACACACAACUCCUAUAUUUAGGCGAGCGGUUAAAUUAUUGCGUUGCAAACGUAAAAAUAUUAUUUACGGAACGCGUAUUUGAGUGCAACAAUAAUCACAAUGCUGGUUGAAUACCUACUCCGCGCGCAAUGGCUCGUACCUACAUUAGUCUAUUCAUAAAAUCGACAGCGGAACUUAUGUAGGUACCUUAUUUGCGUCUUAUAAGUAACGACAACUUAAAAUGUUAACUACUACGUACCUAUAAGUAGAUCUAUACGUUUUAUUUUCCAGGUUUGCGGGAUUAUAUUAUUAUGGUUAAAUCUUAUACCGAAAUAAUAAAGCAUGCGGGUAAAUAUGAAAUUUUAUAAAAAAUACUUUAUUACUUCUAACCUAGAAUAUCAAACGAUAGAAUUACGUAGGUAUAUCGUAGGCCGUACUUAUAAUCUAAUAAUUCUGCAAUAUUACGACACAAUGCAACAUUAGGUAUCCAUAAAUCGUGAAUGCUACUUGAAAUAAUUCAAACUUAUUGACUCGACGUAGGUAGGCGGUACUAAAAAUUAUAUUACUAUAAUUUGAUUAAAUUAGAGUCGAGUCAAUUUUAUUAUGAAAUCGGAUGGAUAAGCCCAUAAAUCCGAUUAAAAGAUUAUGAAAUCCGGUUCGAGAAUGGACCAUAAAAUAUGGUAGCUCCAAAAACAAAAAUUAAAGGGGGCUUUAUGCCACCAUAUUUGAAAACGUGCGGUCAAAAUUAUUUUGAUUUUAAUGGACUGUAUUAGCGGUUAAUUGCCCCA